UGGGGGACCUGACCUGGGAAGUGGCUUUAUCAGACUGGUUGGGAGGGAUGGCCCUGUCCCUUUAUAGUGUGUCCUCUCAACUUGGCAGGGGGCAGAGUUCUUCCCUUCUCUCUGGUUUUCUCUGCUCUAACCUCUCCUUUCAUUUCCCUAACUCACUUUCCGUGUUAACAGCUUUCUUCCCCCUUUCCCUUCCCUUCUGUUCACUGCUGCCCCCUCUUUUGAUCCUUUCUCUCACUGGGCCUCAUUUUCUCUCCAUUUUCACUUUGAGGGCUGACUUGUUUGAAGUUUUAGAGUUAGUGCUGUCCUGUGACUGGAUGUUAUUCAGAGGCCCUGUCCUUUUUCUCUGAGGAGCAGCCUGCCAUAGCCCCUCAGAUAGCAGCCCUGACAGGCUCUGACCCAGAGUCUGAGCUGAGUGCCUGAGGGAGGCUCCAGGAACGGCCUGUGUGAAGCUGGUGUGGGUUUCCCAGCAGUACUUUGUACACUGAUCACCACCGCCUUUUUUUUUUUUAAGAUUUAUUUAUUAUUAUAUCUAAGUACACUGUAGCUGUCUUCAGACACACCAGAAGAUCUUAUUAAGGAUGGUUGUGAGCCACCAUGUGGUUGCUGGGAUUUGAACUCAUGACCUUUGGAAGAGCAGUAAGUGCUCUCACCUGCUGAGCCAUCUCUCCAGCCCCACCACCACCUUUUUUAUUGACAGGUAAUGUUUAUAAGAGAUUCUCUCCACAGUUCUUAGUCAGACAAGGGGCUAAGCUGUGCCCCUAGAGACUCCUUUUGGAAGCUCAAGGCAAAGGUAGUCUGCAUUCAGACAACCUAUGGGUUUUGCCAUAGGACCAGCCACAGUGAAGGCUGGAACAGAUGGGUGAUAAGGUGGCCUGGGAUCCUACUAGUCCUAUCUUGCAGCCAGAUGUUCCCAGAUGGUUUCUGGAACAAAUUCUAUUUUCCUUGUCGUUGGAAGCAUCCUUUUCUUCUCAGUAAAGUAAGAAAUAAUUUUUUCCCCUAAAAGCCAUUUGACAUUUAGUCAAGGGUAGUCAGCAGGAACUUGAACCUUUAUUGCUAAUAUGCCAUACAGGGCAUAGUGGUACACACAUUUAAUCCUAGCACUCCAGAGGCAGAGGCAGGCAGAUCUCUGUGAAGUCAAAGCCAGUCUAGUCUACAUAGUGAGUUUCAGGACAGAGAAGCCACGAAGUGAGACCCUGUCUAAAAAAAAACCCCAAACCUAACUAAAAUAAAAGACCAGCAUGGUCUGUGUAGACCAUCUAGGGCUAUAGAAUGAGAUCUUGCCUCAAAAAAGUACAACGUAUAAACAAUGUACUCUAUAGUUGUAUUCAGUAACAUAACCAUUUAUUGUGAUCUAAUUUUUGUUUUUGAUUCGUGUUUUAUGAAAGGGUCUUGAAUGUAGCCUGGAUAUAGUAGGCAGGCUGGUCUUCAACUUGUAAUCUUACUGUUUAGUUCUCUCAAGUGUUAGCAUUAUAGUCUUUGACAAUAGAAAUUGACUUUUACUUACUUAUUACUUGAUUGAUUGAUUGAUUGAUUGAUUGAUUGAUUAAGAGAAGAUCUCACUGUGUAUUGCUGGCCAGUCUGGAUUUUAAUUGGCUAUGUAGACCGGGCUGGUCUCAAACUCAAAAGAUCCACCUGUUUCUUCUUCCCAAGCGCCAGGAUUAAUGCCUGACUUAAAACUUUAUUUUUAAAUCCAAAUAGCUAAGUGAAUGCAUGGCAUUGCAAAUGCUGCCUAGUUUUUUUGGUUGCUGCUGCGGUUUAACUACACUGGCCCAUGUAGUUCUGUCUCAUUGUUCUGAAGGGUCUCAGGUAGCAGUGUUACUUCUAUGGUUUGCGAGUACCUGGGUUUAUUUUGCCUUCACUAACGGUAGACUUUUGGGGAUGCUAUAUAUCAUGUGUGUGUGUUAUAUACCUGUUAUGAAUAUACAACAAUAAACCCGUGCAGAUGUAUGUAAAGUUUUAGAAGCUUAGCAUACUGCUGUAAUAUAUAUCUGUGAGAUGAAACCCCUAGAGGCAGACCUUCCAGUUCAAAAGAUAAUAUGUUCAUUUAAUUACCUGAGGUAUAAUUUUAAAUAUGAUCUGGGCAUAGUGACACACACUUGUAAUCCCAGCACUUGGGAGGCUGAGGCAGGAGGAGUUCAAGUUUCAGACUAGCCCAGACUACAUAUAGGGAGACGUCAGAGGAAGCAAGGUAGAAGUCCUUCAGUAAACACCUUAGCUUGUGAGUUUGGGGUUGGAUCUGAGAUCUUUUCCUCAGCUAGCUGCACAUUUACUGGUGUAGUCUGACUUCCCUACCGAGGGUUUUGUUCUGCUUCUACCUCAUUGUGUAGCUCUGAAAUAUAGCUCCUGGGCUCCUAACUCCAAUUUGUCCAGUCAGUAGCAGACUACUUUACAAUACCUUUGAAAUUAGAAAACUUCCAGAGUUUCCUUCCUGAUGCAGUAAUGGAGAAGACUGGUAAAGCCCACACUAAUGUUAGACAUCUUCUGCAGUAGUUACUUCAUUAUGUGGUUGAGUGAUUGGGUCGGCUGGUGGUACCUGGCAAGCAGAUGCAGAUGAAGUUCUAAGAUUCAGUAAAGAAUAGCUAUAUAAAAGCAUCCUGAGCGACUGUCUCACCUUUAGCCUCUUCUGUACAACAGCCCCCCACCGUAGUGACCCCUGACCGUUUCUGAAAUGUACUUUUUUUCUUUGUUACUUCCCAGAUUGUUGCCUCUGACUAAUGAUAUGCUCGCCACUUCUGCUUAGAAACUGAGCUUCCCUGACUGCUUAUUUACUUUUGUGCACAUAGUACUCUGCUUCCCGUCUUAUAAGUUGGUCUGUAAUGGCUGCUGCUGUCUGUCUGUCUCUGUAGUCUGAACAGGAACUAACUCAUGCACACACCAUCUCAGUAGGCCUGGAACUGCUAGUGUUGAGUUACACUUGAUGUCCUGGGACAUUUUCAUGGACUGGAUGAAUGACCUGUGUGAAUAGCAUAAGGCAACACGCCAAAGGUACAGUUAAGUGAAAACUAUAAAUCAUGGAGAAAGACAAAACUAAUAAUUCUAGAGCCAUUUUUAAGCUCAACAAUCUACACUCAAAAUUAAGCGGGCAGAUUCAAAAGUUGAGGAGCCUAGAACAUAAAACAGUCUAUUUAUGAAGGUCCUUUUAGAAGGGCAGCUAAAAGAGAUAGGUGCCUUUAGGUUAUGAUCUGUUCUUGUGGGUUUUUUUUUUUAAAGAUUUAUUUAUUAUUAUAUGUAAGUACACUGUAGCUGUCUUCAGACACACCAGAAGGGGGCAUCAGAGAUCAUUACGGGUGGUUGUGAGUCACCAUGUGGUUGCUGGGAUUUGAACUCAGGACCUUUGGAAGAGCAGUCGGUGCUCUUAACCGCUGAGCCAUCUCUCCAGCCCCUCUUGUGGGUUUUUAACUUUAAAGACAAUUAUACAAGCUGCCAGGCUAGAAGUAUCCUGACUUCAUGCUUCAAUAGUGUGAGUGUAACCCAUAUUUAACCCUGCCAUAUACCUAGCCAAGCAUCUUCUUAGUUAUGACAAAAAGAGUCUCGACUACAAAAGCCACAGC
This 3551-nucleotide long non-coding RNA is filed under the name Mus musculus (house mouse). RNAcentral describes it as "long non-coding RNA chr18:36356566-36360117". Lineage: Eukaryota; Metazoa; Chordata; Mammalia; Rodentia; Muridae. The record is from RNAcentral.